Molecule: ribosomal RNA, 442 nt
Filed under: uncultured bacterium
Lineage: Bacteria
Description: partial 16S ribosomal RNA
Source: RNAcentral
GCCCUUAUUACCGNGGAUGCUGGCACGGAGUUAGCCGGGGCUUCUUCUGCUGGUACCGUCAUUAUCUUCCCAGCUGAAAGGACUUUACAACCCUAAGGCCUUCAUCGUCCACGCGGCAUGGCUAGAUCAGGGUUUCCCCCAUUGUCUAAGAUUCCCCACUGCUGCCUCCCGUAGGAGUCUGGGCCGUGUCUCAGUCCCAGUGUGGCUGAUCAUCCUCUCAAACCAGCUAUGGAUCGUAGGCUUGGUAGGCCAUUACCCCACCAACUACCUAAUCCAACGCGGGCUAAUCCUUUGGCGAUAAAUCUUUCCCCCGAAGGGCACAUACGGUAUUACUCUCCGUUUCCAGAGGCUAUUCCGUACCAAAGGGCAUAUCCCACGCGUUACUCACCCGUCCGCCGCUAACCCGAAGGUUCGCUCGACUUGCAUGUGUUAGGCCAAGGGC